CCGAGAGAAAAAGACCAGUUAAAGGCGGGUUUGUGUCUGUGCAAAGCCCGUGUGUGUGCAAAGCCCGUGUGUGCGCAUGCGUGCCUGUAUCCAGAUGGCGGUAAAGGGUGAAAGAAAAACUGGGGUCAUUUUUCUCUUAAAUAUGCUUGUCCAUCAGGAUGGCCAUACCACUGUCUCCAGUGAAAAACCCUCUACUCACAUCAGAGUUUGGGAGAAAUGAGGCACCUGUUUUCAUCAGCGCAAACCCAUCAGCUUUACCCUAUCUUGGACGUCAAAGGAAACGCAGAACUUGGGAGAAAUCUGGGUUCUACAUCGUGUCCAUAAUUCAUCCACAUGUCUAAAUUGGUUGGAAAAUAAAACUCUUGCAAUGUCUUCCUGGUCCACUUCAUUUUGCAAACUUCCUUUGACCCUAAUAGCUCAACCAGGUCCUCUUCUCCUUGCCCUCCUGG
RNAcentral lists this long non-coding RNA (449 nucleotides) under Mustela putorius furo (domestic ferret). Its description in RNAcentral is "lncRNA (ENSMPUG00000027463.1)". The record is from RNAcentral. Lineage: Eukaryota; Metazoa; Chordata; Mammalia; Carnivora; Mustelidae.